UUUCUGUUUAACAGCCUG
RNAcentral lists this small nuclear RNA (18 nucleotides) under Arabidopsis thaliana (thale cress). RNAcentral describes it as "snRNA_15383". Lineage: Eukaryota; Viridiplantae; Streptophyta; Magnoliopsida; Brassicales; Brassicaceae. The record is from RNAcentral.